Molecule: ribosomal RNA, 253 nt
Filed under: uncultured prokaryote
Description: partial 16S ribosomal RNA
Rfam family: Bacterial small subunit ribosomal RNA
Source: RNAcentral
ACGGAGGGUGCGAGCGUUGUCCGGAAUCACUGGGCGUAAAGGGCGCGUAGGUGGCGCGGGAAGUCAACGGUGAAAGUUCAGGGCUCAACCCUGAAUCGGCCGUCGAUACUCCCGGGCUUGAGCACUGUAGAGGCAGGUGGAAUUCCGGGUGUAGCGGUGGAAUGCGUAGAGAUCCGGAAGAACACCGGUGGCGAAGGCGGCCUGCUGGGCAGUUGCUGACACUGAUGCGCGACAGCGUGGGGAGCAAACAGGA